UACGUAGGGUCCGAGCGUUGUCCGGAAUUACUGGGCGUAAAGAGCUCGUAGGUGGUUUGUCGCGUUGUUCGUGAAAACUCACAGCUCAACUGUGGGCGUGCGGGCGAUACGGGCAGACUGGAGUACUGCAGGGGAGACUGGAAUUCCUGGUGUAGCGGUGGAAUGCGCAGAUAUCAGGAGGAACACCGGUGGCGAAGGCGGGUCUCUGGGCAGUAACUGACACUGAGGAGCGAAAGCGUGGGGAGCGAACAGG
Molecule: ribosomal RNA, 253 nt
Filed under: uncultured bacterium
Lineage: Bacteria
Description: partial 16S ribosomal RNA
Rfam family: Bacterial small subunit ribosomal RNA
Source: RNAcentral